CGCUCAUCCAGAGGGGCAGAGGGAACGGCCCGUUGAAGCCCCGGCAACCCUCCAGCCGGUCCUGAUUCUCAUCGAAGCGGGGCCCCGGCUAGGGAAGGUGCCAAUUCCGGCUCGCGACGAGAUGCGUCGCGAGGAAGAUGAGGA
This 144-nucleotide non-coding RNA is filed under the name Streptomyces sparsogenes. Its description in RNAcentral is "SAM-I sequence". It matches the Rfam family "SAM riboswitch aptamer (S box leader)". From Rfam's summary of the family: The SAM riboswitch is found upstream of a number of genes which code for proteins involved in methionine or cysteine biosynthesis in Gram-positive bacteria. The SAM riboswitch acts at the level of transcription termination control. RNAcentral also lists the same sequence under 1 other name. Lineage: Bacteria; Bacillati; Actinomycetota; Actinomycetes; Kitasatosporales; Streptomycetaceae. The record is from RNAcentral.